GAUCCUGGCUCAGAUUGAACGCUGGCGGCAUGCCUUACACAUGCAAGUCGAACGGUAACAGGUUAAGCUGACGAGUGGCGAACGGGUGAGUAAUGUAUCGGAACGUGCCCAGUCGUGGGGGAUAACCGCUCGAAAGAGCAGCUAAUACCGCAUACGACCUGAGGGUGAAAGCGGGGGAUCGCAAGACCUCGCGCGAUUGGAGCGGCCGAUAUCAGAUUAGGUAGUUGGUGAGGUAAAGGCUCACCAAGCCGACGAUCUGUAGCUGGUCUGAGGGGACGACCAGCCACACUGGGACUGAGACACGGCCCAGACUCCUACGGGAGGCAGCAGUGGGGAAUUUUGGACAAUGGGCGCACAUGGAUCCAGCCAUGCCGCGUGCGGAAGGAAGGCCUUCGGGUUGUAAACCGCUUUUGUCAGGGAAGAAAAGGUUCUGGCUAAUACCUAGGACUCAUGACGGUACCUGAAGAAUAAGCACCCGGCUAACUACGUGCCAGCAGCCGCGGUAAUACGUAGCGUGCAAGCGUUAAUCCGGAAUUACUG
RNAcentral lists this ribosomal RNA (540 nucleotides) under uncultured bacterium. RNAcentral describes it as "bacterial SSU rRNA". It matches the Rfam family "Bacterial small subunit ribosomal RNA", at positions 15 to 556 of the family's 1533-position model. The record is from RNAcentral.